AUGUGGCAAUGGAUCCGUGGCCGUCUUCCCUCUGGCGUGGAGGUGAUUAAGCGUCAUGGUCCGGGUGACGGUCUAUGCCCCCUUUGCGGGACGGAAGAAACUUCGAAUCACAUCUUCUUCUUGUGCGUGUCCGCCCAGUUCCUUUGGGGUUGCCUCCGCGAGGUGAUCGGUGGGGUUUGGUGCAACACCAACUUCCCUGACCUCCUUGCCAAGAUCCAGGCCACCCCCAUAUCGGGCCGCCACAUUAGGUGGCUGCUCAUUGGGGUUCUCGCCUGGACGAUCUGGACUGUGCGUAAUAAGCUUGUCAUUCAGCGGGUUCCUCUCCGACGCGCUACUGAUGCCGUGUUCAAAUUAUGUGGUUAUUUGCAGCUCUGGCGGCCGCUUAGCCGUCACCAGGACCGAGACGCCAUCACCACCAUCAUCUCCGACCUUCGCGCGAUGGCCCUCCGCUUGGCGCCGCCGCUCCCUCCGCCACCGCCCGAGCCAGAUUAG
RNAcentral lists this ribosomal RNA (492 nucleotides) under Triticum aestivum (bread wheat). RNAcentral describes it as "partial small subunit ribosomal RNA". The record is from RNAcentral. Lineage: Eukaryota; Viridiplantae; Streptophyta; Magnoliopsida; Poales; Poaceae.